Molecule: long non-coding RNA, 1390 nt
Organism: Dreissena polymorpha
Lineage: Eukaryota; Metazoa; Mollusca; Bivalvia; Myida; Dreissenidae
Exons: 2
Source: RefSeq, a predicted model, not a curated record
UUUUAUACGCCCGUCUAUGACGGGACGUAUUAUGGUAUACCCCGCGUCCGUCUGUCCGUCCGUCCGUCUGUCCGUCCGUAUGUCUGUUAAUGUCGUACGCUACGUCAAAUAUCCUUUGACAGAUUUUCUUCAAAUUUUAACACAAUCUUAAUAUUGAUAAACCCUGAUCCCCUUUCGUUUUUGACGGAAUUCUGAAUUGUCGUUCCAGAGUUAUGGGACUUUGUUCGUCAAAAUUUCGUGAUUUCAUUGAAUGUCCUACUGUAGCUAUAUAAAAAUGUUAAAGUUGUUAUAACUUUGGUAUGCUUGGACCUAGAGUCUUGAAACUUGACAUGAAGGUUGGCCAGAACUAGUAAGUAACCACUGGACAUUUCAAGGUCAUUCAUUUGAAGGUCAAGGUCACUGUGACCUUGAAUGUAAAAAUGUUAAAGUUCUUAUUUCAUGUUAUAACUUUGGUAUGCUUGUACCUAGAGUCUUCAAACUUGAAAUAAAGAUUGGCCAGUACUAGAAGAUGACCACUGGUCAUUUCAAUGUCAUUCAUUUGAAGGUCAAGGUCACUGUGACCUUAAAUGUUAAAAUGUUAAAAUUGUUAUAACUUUGGUAUGCUUGGACAUAGAGUCUUCAAACUUGACAUGAAGGUUUGCAAGCACACUUAGAUGACCACUGGUCAUUUCAAGGUCAUUCAUUCUAAGGUCAAGGUCACACAAGGUCACUGUGACCUUAAAUGUUAAAAUGUUAAAAUUGUUAUAACUUUGGUAUGCUUGGACAUAGAGUCUUCAAACUUGACAUGAAGGUUUGCAAGCACACUUAGAUGACCACUGGUCAUUUCAAGGUCAUUCAUUCUAAGGUCAAGGUCACUGUGACCUUAAAUGUUAUUGUUGUUCAUGUAUCCUACCGUAGCUCAAAUAUCCCCCGAUGGAUUUUUUAUACGCCCGUCUAUGACGGGACGUAUUAUGGUAUACCCCGCGUCCGUCUGUCCGUCCGUCCGUCCGUCCGUCCGUCCGUCUGUUAAUGUCGUACGCUACGUCAAAUAUCCUUUGACAGAUUUUCUUCAAAUUUUAACACAAUCUUAAUAUUGAUAAACCCUGAUCCCCUUUCGUUUUUGACGGAAUUCUGAAUUGUCGUUCCAGAGUUAUGGGACUUUGUUCGUCAAAAUUUCGUGAUUUCAUUGAAUGUCCUACUGUAGCUCAAAUAUCCUUCGAUGGAUUUUUUUCAAAUUUCAACACAAUCUUAAUAUUGAUAAACCCUGAUCCCCUUUCGUUUUUGACGGAAUUCUGAAUUGUCGUUCCAGAGUUAUGGGACUUUGUUCGUCAAAAUUUCGUGAUUUCCAUGCUCAUGUACUUAUAAAAUAAACCAUGUAUUCAAAUACAAAUAAACUGAAGUAAAAAAAUGA